This 484-nucleotide ribosomal RNA is filed under the name uncultured bacterium. RNAcentral's name for it is "partial 16S ribosomal RNA". It matches the Rfam family "Bacterial small subunit ribosomal RNA", at positions 30 to 507 of the family's 1533-position model. The record is from RNAcentral.
AUUGAACGCUGGCGGCAGGCCUAACACAUGCAAGUCGAGCGGAAGAAGGGAGCUUGCUCCUGGAUUCAGCGGCGGACGGGUGUGUAAUGCCUAGGAAUCUGCCUGGUAGUGGGGUAUAACGUCCGGAAACGGGCGCUAAUACCGCAUACGUCCUGAGGGAGAAAGUGGGGGCUCUUCGGACCUCACGCUAUCAGAUGAGCCUAGGUCGGAUUAGCUAGUUGGUGGGGUAAAGGCCUACCAAGGCGACGAUCCGUAACUGGUCUGAGAGGAUGAUCAGUCACACUGGAACUGAGACACGGUCCAGACUCCUACGGGAGGCAGCAGUGGGGAAUAUUGGACAAUGGGCGAAAGCCUGAUCCAGCCAUGCCGCGUGUGUGAAGAAGGUCUUCGGAUUGUAAAGCACUUUAAGUUGGGAGGAAGGGCAGUAAGUUAAUACCUUGCUGUAUUGACGUUACCAACAGAAUAAGCACCGGCUAACUUCGUG